UACGUAGGGGGCAAGCGUUAAUCGGAAUUACUGGGCGUAAAGCGUGCGUAGGCGGUUCCUCAAGUCCGUUGUGAAAGCCCCGGGCUCAACCUGGGAAUGGCAGUGGAAACUAGGGGACUGGAAUCUGGCAGAGGGGGGUGGAAUGCCGCGUGUAGCAGUGAAAUGCGUAGAGAUGCGGCGGAACACCGAUGGCGAAGGCAGCCCCCUGGGCUGAGAUUGACGCUCAGGCACGAAAGCGUGGGGAGCAAACAGG
Molecule: ribosomal RNA, 253 nt
Filed under: uncultured bacterium
Lineage: Bacteria
Description: partial 16S ribosomal RNA
Rfam family: Bacterial small subunit ribosomal RNA
Source: RNAcentral